GCAAGUCGAGCGCCUCGCAAGGGGAGCGGCAGACGGGUGAGUAACGCGUGGGAAUCUACCCUUUCCUUACGGAAUAACACAGAGAAAUUUGUGCUAAUACCGUAUACGCCCUUCGGGGGAAAGAUUCAUCGGGGAAGGAUGAGCCCGCGUCGGAUUAGCUAGUUGGUGGGGUAAUGGCCCACCAAGGCGACGAUCCGUAGCUGGUCUGAGAGGAUGACCAGCCACACUUGGGACUGAGACACGGCCCAAACUCCUACGGGAGGCAGCCAGUGGGGAAUAUUGGACAAUGGGCGCAAGCCUGAUCCAGCCAUGCCGCGUGAGUG
RNAcentral lists this ribosomal RNA (323 nucleotides) under uncultured bacterium. Its description in RNAcentral is "bacterial SSU rRNA". It matches the Rfam family "Bacterial small subunit ribosomal RNA", at positions 57 to 407 of the family's 1533-position model. The record is from RNAcentral.